GAUGAAGAACGCAGCGAAAUGCGAUAAUUGAUGUGAAUUGCAGAAUUCCGUGAAUCAUCGAGUCUUUGAACGCACAUUGCGCCUCAUAGCAUUCCAUGAGGCAUGCCCAUCUCAGCGUUAGAAAAUAUUCUCAAAUUUUAGUUUUGUGCUAAAAUUUGGAUCAUGUCAAGGAAGCUAUUACUAUUAUUGUGAUCGCUCUUUGGAAAUUGAUAGGUCUUUGAGUUGCUACUCAUAGAACGUGAUGAAUCUUUCUUCGUUCUAUUGUAAUUCACUCUGGUAGUCCUAAAACUUGUAUGCCUGUGGCAUAUCUUGUAAUUUGACCUGAGAUUGGGUAGGGAUACCCGCUGAACUUAAGCAUAUCAAUAAGCGGAGGA
RNAcentral lists this unclassified non-coding RNA (374 nucleotides) under soil metagenome. RNAcentral's name for it is "partial contains internal transcribed spacer 2 and large subunit ribosomal RNA". The stretch from base 1 to 120 matches the Rfam family "5.8S ribosomal RNA", at positions 35 to 154 of the family's 154-position model. The record is from RNAcentral.